GCAAGUGUGGCCGAGUGGUUAAGGCGUUGUGUUUAGGUCAUCAUCUCAUCAUGAUUACAAAUCCGCAAUUCUAACGAGCGUGAGUUCGAAUCUCACCGCUUGCA
RNAcentral lists this transfer RNA (104 nucleotides) under Penicillium italicum. It matches the Rfam family "tRNA". From Rfam's summary of the family: Transfer RNA (tRNA) molecules are approximately 80 nucleotides in length. Their secondary structure includes four short double-helical elements and three loops (D, anti-codon, and T loops). Further hydrogen bonds mediate the characteristic L-shaped molecular structure. tRNAs have two regions of fundamental functional importance: the anti-codon, which is responsible for specific mRNA codon recognition, and the 3' end, to which the tRNAs corresponding amino acid is attached (by aminoacyl-tRNA synthetases). tRNAs cope with the degeneracy of the genetic code in two manners: having more than one tRNA (with a specific anti-codon) for a particular amino acid; and 'wobble' base-pairing, i.e. permitting non-standard base-pairing at the 3rd anti-codon position. Lineage: Eukaryota; Fungi; Ascomycota; Eurotiomycetes; Eurotiales; Aspergillaceae. The record is from Rfam by way of RNAcentral.